AAAAAGACAAACCCUGAUUUUCGUGCCCAACGUUCGGCCGUCCGUCUUAUUUGAAAAAAAAUUAAAAGACAAGUCACGCACAAAGUAUUAAUCAUGUUUUAUCAUCUAACAACAAUAAAAAUAUGAAUUAUAAAAAAAUUUCAUAUAAGACGGAUAGUCAAAGUUGGACACGGAAACCCAGAGUUUGCUUUUUU
RNAcentral lists this microRNA precursor (194 nucleotides) under Oryza glumipatula. Its description in RNAcentral is "MIR812 microRNA precursor family". It matches the Rfam family "MIR812 microRNA precursor family". Lineage: Eukaryota; Viridiplantae; Streptophyta; Magnoliopsida; Poales; Poaceae. The record is from Rfam by way of RNAcentral.